AGGUCAUAUUUUGGUGACACCUUUUAGCCUACUCAUGUCAAUUUGUGCUUCAUAAAGAACAUUUUCUGGAUAUUACUGUGGAAACUGAACCUAAGCGUGCCGACAACAAAGUGUGUUCUGCAGUGAUGAGAAAAGGGGGAAAGUAGAGAUUUUAUGACGUUCAGUGUAGACCGCUGGGUGCUGGGAACCAAAGAUCUUCAGCAUCUCCAACACUCAAAUAGUAGAGUGUGUGUCAUCAUCGAUGCCUUGGUUUUGACUGACCAUGAAUGCAGAGUGGGUGAGCCAGGCCUUGGGCUGCCAGUGGAGGACGUGAAGUCAAGCCAGGGAGCCAAGGCCACUGUCAGCUCUCAGUGGUUAGAAUAACCCAGCAAAACCUCCUGGGAACCGGGCUGGGAUCGGACCAGCGCUAGCUGCCAGAACAAGUGAGAGGCCACAAUUGUUGGUGAGGAAGACCAAUUCAGCAGUUGGAUUUGCAUCGCCAUUCGCGCAGCAUGCCAUCAUCAGCGGCCACCGCCACAGGUAUGGAUUCAGGGCAGCGAGGACCAGCAGGAUUCUGGGAGGGAAUUUGUGAGACGAGGCUUUAAUGAGAACAAGGCCUCAUCCGCUGGCGAGAAAUGUAUGCAAAUGAUAUGCACACACCAAAAGGACCCUGGGUAGGCGAGGCGAGCGCCGGCCGAGCUCCCGCUGAGCUCUGAGGAAGAUGAGCGGCUCAGGUCAGAAGAAUGACAACAAAACACCUCCUCCUCCUUUUCUUCUUCUCUUUCUCUUUCCUUAUGCUGCAUCUGGGGGAGCAGAGAAAGAUGAAAACUGGUGAACACAUAAACUGCGAGAUGAGUUUGUAGUGUUGCUACAUAAUGUUGUUGAUGUGUUUUGGUUUCUGGACUGCUGUUGCUAGGUAGAUUUUUUUUUUUUGUUAUUCAUCUUUGUAAGCACACUGACAUUUGUGGGGUAAAUUAUCUAGAGAUUAAACAUGUCUGUGUUUUACAUCCAGACUUUCCAGAAGUUUAAUUGUCAUAAAUUAUUACUGUAAAAAUAAAAAUAAAAAUAAAAAUUGAGCUCAGCAGAGAACUCACAUUGUGCCCUCUAAUUGUGCUUAUGGAAGUCAUUUUGUCAAUAGAGUAAUGUGACAGUAAUUUCUUUUGACACUUCAUUUGGAAAUUUAAACUCACAACAUGGCUGUUUAAUCACCAGAGUGUAGUGUAUGUAAUAGGCUGUAAGAUGUAAGUUAAAUUACCUGUUUUAAUUCUGUAAUAAAAUGCAUUUGUCAACUAUUAUAAAAGACACUUGUGAUUUA
This is a long non-coding RNA of Dicentrarchus labrax (European seabass), 1294 nucleotides long. RefSeq lists it as uncharacterized. The record is from RefSeq and is a predicted model, not a curated record. The transcript has 6 exons. Lineage: Eukaryota; Metazoa; Chordata; Actinopteri; Moronidae.